RNAcentral lists this non-coding RNA (30 nucleotides) under Homo sapiens (human). Lineage: Eukaryota; Metazoa; Chordata; Mammalia; Primates; Hominidae. The record is from RNAcentral.
AAGAAGGCACAGGGAACCUACUGCACGAGA